ACACGUAAGGGGCGAGCGUUGUUCGGAUUUAUUGGGCGUAAAGGGCGUGUAGGCGGUAAGGCAAGUCUGGUGUGAAAUAUCCCGGCUCAACCGGGGGAGCGCGCUGGAAACUGUCUUACUUGAGUGGUGGAGGGGGAGCUGGAAUUCCUGGUGUAGGGGUGAAAUCUGUAGAUAUCAGGAAGAACACCGGAGGCGAAGGCGAGCUCCUGGCCAUUUACUGACGCUGAGGCGCGAAAGCGUGGGGAGCAAACAGGAUUAGAUACCCUGGUAGUCCACGCUGUAAACGAUGUGCACCAGGCGUGGGACACGUCGGUGUUCUGUGCCGAAGUUAACGCGAUAAGUGCACCGCCUGGGGAGUAUGCCCGCAAGGGUGAAACUCAAAUGAAUUGACGGGG
RNAcentral lists this ribosomal RNA (395 nucleotides) under uncultured bacterium. RNAcentral's name for it is "partial 16S ribosomal RNA". It matches the Rfam family "Bacterial small subunit ribosomal RNA", at positions 523 to 918 of the family's 1533-position model. The record is from RNAcentral.